This 164-nucleotide ribosomal RNA is filed under the name uncultured bacterium. RNAcentral describes it as "partial 16S rRNA". It matches the Rfam family "Bacterial small subunit ribosomal RNA", at positions 355 to 511 of the family's 1533-position model. The record is from RNAcentral.
UAGGGAAUCUUCGGCAAUGGGGGCAACCCUGACCGAGCAACGCCGCGUGAGUGAAGAAGGGUUUCGGCUCGUAAAGCUCUGUUGUUAAAGAAGAACACGUAUGAGAGUAACUGUUCAUACGUUGACGGUAUUUAACCAGAAAGUCACGGCUAACUACGUGCCGG